RNAcentral lists this long non-coding RNA (403 nucleotides) under Mustela putorius furo (domestic ferret). RNAcentral describes it as "lncRNA (ENSMPUG00000027503.1)". Lineage: Eukaryota; Metazoa; Chordata; Mammalia; Carnivora; Mustelidae. The record is from RNAcentral.
CACGUUCACCGCCUUUUAAAGGCCGGCUUUGGCUCGACCGGAUUUCUGGAAUUUUCUGGGGGUACUGACGCUGGGCAGUUUUUCAUUUUCUUGGCCUCGGCCGUGACAUUCCAUGCUGACAUGGCUGCGUCUGCCUGCUGUGUGUCUGGAAUGUUCCUGGCGUUUUCCGUGGGUGUCUGCUCACCCAGCGUUGCGCAGAUGGCUUCCGAGAGGAGAAACCGGGCCCCAGAGCAGGGGGGGAGAGGAGGUGGCGCCCCUGGGAGGGAACCCGGGGCCUGCCCACGCAGCCGGCGCUAGAGGAUGGCCGCUUGCAACCCAUGGAAAGACCUCUCGCCGAACAUGACCCCUGGCACCUUGACGUUGGACUUCUCACCUCCAGAGCAGUGAGAAACAAAGUUCUGGU